CCUGCGGAAGGAUCAUUAACAAAUGUCCUUUGACAAAGUUUUGUGCCGGUUCGCCGGCCAGAGUUUCAACCUUUUGUGAACAAACUUAUAUUCGCUUCGGCAGCUGGUCCGGGCUUGCGCCCGGCUGUGAGCCUGCCGGCAGCAACAAAUCAAACUUGCAUUUAUAACCUGUCUGAAACCAUUCUAAAUCUGAAUGAAAAUUAAAACUUUCAACAACGGAUCUCUUGGUUCUCGCAUCGAUGAAGAACGCAGCGAAACGCGAUAGUUAAUGUGAAUUGCAGAAUUCAGUGAAUCAUCGAGUCUUUGAACGCACAUUGCGCCCAUUGGUAUUCCGAUGGGCACGUCUGUUUGAGCGUCAUUGCAACCCCUCAGCCGGCUUCUGCUGGUCUGGUAUUGGGCUCGGGCACCCUUCAUGGGGCUCCGGCUUUAAAGUUGCACGCUCUGCGGACCCUGCCGCCUCAAGAACAUAGUAUAACGCUAACUGCUCUGAAAGGCGCGCUGGGCUUCCGCCUGAACAAACUCUCUUACUAAGGU
Molecule: unclassified non-coding RNA, 534 nt
Filed under: Ascomycota cf. Orbiliales OTU_028
Lineage: Eukaryota; Fungi; Ascomycota
Description: sequence contains ITS1, 5.8S rRNA gene and ITS2
Rfam family: 5.8S ribosomal RNA (bases 205-358)
Source: RNAcentral